RNAcentral lists this ribosomal RNA (506 nucleotides) under uncultured bacterium. RNAcentral's name for it is "partial 16S ribosomal RNA". It matches the Rfam family "Bacterial small subunit ribosomal RNA", at positions 29 to 523 of the family's 1533-position model. The record is from RNAcentral.
AUUGAACGCUGGCGGCAUGCUUUACACAUGCAAGUCGAACGGUAGAGGGGGCAACCCCUUGAGAGUGGCGAACGGGUGAGUAAUGCAUCGGAACGUGACCAGAAGUGGGGGAUAGCUAGGCGAAAGCCGGAUUAAUAAGGCAUGAGACCUGAGGGUGAAAGCGGGGGAUCAAGUAGCAAUAUUUAGACUCGCGCUACUGGAGCGGCCGAUGUCAGAUUAGGAAGUUGGGGGGGUAACGGCCUACCAAGCCGACGAUCUGUAGCUGGUCUGAGAGGACGACCAGCGACACUGGGACUGAGACACGGCCCAGACUCCUACGGGAGGCAGCAGUGGUGAAUUUUGGACAAUGGGCGAAAGCCUGAUCCAGCCAUGCCGCUUGCGGGAAUAAGGCCUUCGGGUUGUAAACCGCUUUUGUCAGGGAAGAAAUCCUUUGGGCUAAUACCCCGGGGGGAUGACGGUACCUGAAGAAUAAGCACCGGCUAACUACGUGCCAGCAGCCGCGGUAA